CAUUCCUCCUCGACUGAAAGCACUUUGGAGAAUUAAAAAGUACGUGAAAAAGCUAGAAAGGGAAGCGCUUGCAACCAGACUUGUCCGCAGUUGCUCAGCCGGUCUCCUGACCGGCGUACUCUUCUGCGGCCAGGCCAGCAUCAGUUCGGGCGGUCGGAUAAAGGCCUCGGGAAUGUAGCUCCUCUCGGGGAGUGUUAUAGCCCGGGGUGGAAUGCGGCCAGCCUGGACUGAGGAACUCGCUUCGGCAAGGAUGCUGGCGUAAUGGUUGUAAGCGGCCCGUCUUGAAACACGGACCAAGA
This 299-nucleotide ribosomal RNA is filed under the name Lasiodiplodia parva. Its description in RNAcentral is "partial 28S ribosomal RNA". It matches the Rfam family "Eukaryotic large subunit ribosomal RNA", at positions 369 to 664 of the family's 3401-position model. Lineage: Eukaryota; Fungi; Ascomycota; Dothideomycetes; Botryosphaeriales; Botryosphaeriaceae. The record is from RNAcentral.